GGAGGGAUCAUUAACACGUAUCCAACGUUAUCAAACCCAAACCGUGCUCCUUAUUAUUUCCCAUCACAGAUAGGUGAUUAGUAGGCUAUAGAUGGAUUUUCAAUUUUAAUAUGGUAACAUAUUAAAAUUUGAAACUGCUUACAAUCUAUUGAUCCUUGAGAUCGGCUGAAUCUGUAUGGUGUAUCAAAGCCAUCUGGUUAUAUAUGCCAAACCGGUUUCGACCCGGAGCUAUAUAACCUUAGUAAACCCCCAAUUUUUUUACCCCUUUCAAUAUUAUUACUGACUUAACUUUUUCUUAAACUUAACAGUUUAGAAAAUGUAUACGAAACGCGAACAACUCUUAGCAAUGGAUAUCUUGGUUCUCGUACCGAUGAAGAACGCAGCGAAAUGCGAUACGUAAUGCGAAUUGCAGAAUUCAGUGAAUCAUCAAAUCUUUGAACGCAAAUUGCGCUCUCGGGAUAGACCUGGGAGCAUGCCUCUCUGAGUAUCGGUUUCAAAUCAUCUCGCUCAGCAUACUUCAUUGUAUGUUAUAUGCGGAAAAUGAGUGUCUCGAUUACUGAACAAAUCGAGUUACUUGAAAAUUAUACGAGGUUUCAGAACUCCCUAGUAGUGGUCUUAGCUGCGCCAUCUUAUACUUUUAUUAAUAUGAGAAGGCUAGUUCCUUAUAUCUUUGAUUGUGGUCCUAUUUGUUUAAUACAAUUGACGUGAUUGAUGCUUUAAUAGGAUUAAAUUGGCUUAAUUACUGGUGACGUGGAUAGAAUACCUUCGGGUGUUUCAAAACGUCAAUGCCUUUAAUUGAGUCCAUAUGUUCUAUUAUUCUUAUUCUUUCAUAUUGUUCAGCCAGUAUUAUAUAUAAUAACCCUAUCUAAUAGGUAUUUGAAUGAAAAGCUUAUGCUGUCUAUUAGGUUGAGCCGCUGAUAAUCCUUCUGACUAAACAAUCAUCUUAUUAUAUUAUUUUUAUACUAUAAUAAUUUUGACUUAGAUCUCAGAUGAAGCAAGAGGACCCCCUGAAUUUAAGCAUAUUAUUAAGGGGAGGAAAAGAAACUAACAAGGAUUCCCCUAGUAACGGCGAGUGAAGCGGGAAGAGCUCAAAUUGAAAAUCGGCAACCCAUGCGGGUUGUCGAAUUGUAGCCUAGAGACGUAUUGUCAGCGUGUGGCCCAGGUAUAAAUCUUUUGAAACAAGGUAUCAUAGAGGGUGAGAAUCCCGUCUUUGACCUGGAGAUCGCCGCGUACGACAUACGUUCAUAGAGUCGAGUUGCUUGGGAAUGCAGCUCUAAAUGGGUGGUAAAUUUCAUCUAAAGCUAAAUAUCGACGAGAGACCGAUAGCGAACAAGUACCGUGAGGGAAAGAUGAAAAGAACUUUGAAAAGAGAGUUAAAAAGUACUUGAAAUUGUUAAGAGGGAAGCGCUGAAAACCAGUCAUUAUCUAUAUCUAUCUUUACUAUUUGCUCUCUAAUGAGUGUUGCAGAUCAGAGCGCAAGCCUGGUCGGAUCUCGUAGGAAGGGUAAGUGGGUCCUGUAGGUAUAGAUGGGUCAGAAUCAAUUCGAUUCGCGGGUGAAGACUAUGGGAAAGGUAGGAUCUCCGGAUCUGUUAAGUCCUAUAGGCCCGACCGUGGGUUGGAUUGAGGAUGUUUAAUGUGCGCCGCAAGGUUUCGGUUGCUUAUUCCUGCUGGGUUAGCUUUUUUGGAGAACAAUGUUCUGCGGGAAGCGAAGCUUGGUACUGAGUGGGACAAUCAGAUGCACAUUCGCGAUUCUGACGAAAUGGUUUUCAUCGACCCGUCUUGAAACACGGACCAAGGAGUCUAACAUGUAUGCGAGUAUUUGGGUGGUAAACCCUGAUGCGUAAUGAAAGUAAAGGCAGUUUCGGCUGCUGAGGUAGGAAUCCGGGCAACUGGAGGCACUAUCGACCGAUCGUCACUUGUGAUAGAUUUGAGUAAGAGCAUAUCUGUUGGGACCCGAAAGAUGGUGAUCUAUGCCUGAACAGGGUGAAGCCAGGGGAAACUCUGGUGGAGGCUCGUAGCGAUACUGACGUGCAAAUCGUUCGUCUGAUUUGGGUAUAGGGGCGAAAGACUAAUCGAACCAUCUAGUAGCUGGUUCCCUC
This 2099-nucleotide unclassified non-coding RNA is filed under the name uncultured fungus. RNAcentral's name for it is "sequence contains 18S rRNA gene, ITS1, 5.8S rRNA gene, ITS2, 28S rRNA gene". The stretch from base 981 to 2099 matches the Rfam family "Eukaryotic large subunit ribosomal RNA", at positions 1 to 961 of the family's 3401-position model. Lineage: Eukaryota; Fungi. The record is from RNAcentral.